GAACGAGGUGUAGCAAUACACUUCGUGGCGAACGGGUGCGUAACACGUGGAUAACCUUCCUUCAGGUGGGGAAUAACCCAGUGAAAAUUGGGAUAAUACCGCAUAACAAGACGGGGGCACAUGCUCUUGUCUUCAAAGGCGCAAGUCGCCGGAAGAGGGAUCCGCGGCCGAUUAGCUUGUUGGCGGGGUAAAGGCCCACCAAGGCAAUGAUCGGUAGCCGGUCUGAGAGGAUGGCCGGCCACACUGGAACUGAGACACGGUCCAGACUCCUACGGGAGGCAGCAGUGGGGAAUCUUGCGCAAUGGGCGAAAGCCUGACGCAGCGACGCCGCGUGGGGGAUGAAGCUUCUCGGAGUGUAAACCCCUUUCGACCCGGACGAAAGCCCGCAAGGGCCUGACGGUACGGGUAUAAGAAGCCCCGGCUAACUCCGUG
RNAcentral lists this ribosomal RNA (432 nucleotides) under uncultured bacterium. Its description in RNAcentral is "bacterial SSU rRNA". It matches the Rfam family "Bacterial small subunit ribosomal RNA", at positions 64 to 507 of the family's 1533-position model. The record is from RNAcentral.